CCUUUUUCACGGUCCAGAACAGUCCUUUGAAAGCUAGAUAUAAACAAUAAAAGAGGACAACGACGAAUAUUGCAACACCUUUGAGGAAUUUUGCAACAAAACAUUUGGCAGAUUCUGUGCAACAUCUCAGGACUGCUGAACGUAGAGGUGAAUAUGAGAGAAAAAAAAUGGGGACAGGAAGAAAUCCAACCACACUCCAAACAGCAUUUUUCCAAUUAUGUGUCAUCAUGAUCAGGAUGAUUGUUGCUCCAAACGCCACCGCCAUCAUUGAGACCGAGAGGAUCAUACAUAUAAUUCCCUGUGUCAGCUUCUUAAAAAGAUAUGUUUCGAAGUCUUGUAGUGGAAAUGAGGAUGUAAGGAUGGAGAGAAAUUUACCCACAGAUGUCAAAGCCAAAGUGAGGGAGAACACAUCAGCUAAUAUGAAAACCACAAAGAAGGGUUUAGAGUUAAGGAUUGGAAUACCGGUGUCUUGAUUAGGACCUCCUGGUACCGUGUAGGCUGCUGCAAAGGCAACAGUGGCUAUGAAAAUAGAAAGAAUGGUGCAAUUCUCAGUGGUGCGCAUUAGCCAUUCCUUGGCAUCUCGAUGGAGUCUCUCAUUCCUAGCAGCAAAUAAUUCUUCAGCAGUCUGGUUAUCUUUGUUGAGAGGCUUGGUCAAAUGCAUCUUACAGGCUGACUUCACUUUCUGCACCCACACAUACAAUCACAAGUAGCACCGUUAUUCUAAUGUAACACAUACAAGCUUUUUUGUUCUUUCUAAUCCCUCCAUUUAUCAUUAGACUAAAUUAAAAAUAUUAGGGAAAAAAAAAACCUUCAAAGUAAUUAUUCAUGAACUUUUAGGUUGUGUUUGAUUCUUAGACGAUUCUUAAAUAAUUUGAGGGAAGUGGAGAAAAAUAAAGGGAAAAAGUAGAAGAAAAUAAAAAAUGAAAGAAAAAAAAAAGAUUUAAACUCAAAAAUCAUUUUUAUAUAUUACUUUAAACUCAUUUUACUUAUUUUAACUCUUAUCUAAGGAUUAAAUAAUUUCAAAAUAUUCAAGUAUUUUUUUAUUAAUUUUAAUUAUAUUUUAUUUUUACAUUUUAUAUUUUAUAUAUUAAAACAAAAAUGAGAAAAUUAUUUUUUAAUACUUUUUUCUUUCUUUAGUAUUUUUCUAAUAACUUAAACUUUAUGAUCAAUUAGUGGAUUUUAACAUGGUAAGAGUAGCUUGGUCUUGAGUUUGAAUCUCAUUGGUGUAUUGUUUAUUCUCUCUAUGCAUUAAUUUAACCUUGUGUAAGCCUAAAAAAACCUAUAGUGAUAACUUAAAGGAUCAUUUUACAACAUUGAAAAGCUAAUUUUCAUAUCAUACACAAAAGUGAUGGUCAAAUAAAAAUUGAUAGGUGGUAAAAAUGAUCUUAUUUAUAUUUAUAUUUGUUAAAAAGGUUCUAUUUAUCUCUAUUUGUGAAACUAAUCUUGGUUUUGAUAAUAAUAAAACAAAAAUUAAAACUAAUAAUUUAUCCUAAGUAUGUUUAGGCAAAAAGAUUUUCAAAAAAGCAAUAAAAGAUGAAUUAAAUCAAAUAAAAAUUAAGAAGAAGGAAAAUACCUCAUAGAAAAGAAAAGUCAAGACCUAUUCCCUAGGAUCUCUUUGUAAAACUAUUGGUGUACUAGGUUCAUAGCACAUUACAUUUUUAUUGAAUACAUAAAAUCAUCCAAAUGUCUAAAUAGAUUUUAUUUUCUUGAAUCUAAUCCUUCCUAAUUAAGCUUUUUUUAAAGGUUUAUGAAGUUGAAUAAAAGUUUCCAGGAAUUCCAGGCCUCAAACUAGCUAGGGUCUUUUAUACACUUUACAAUAUAAUUGGUUGAAGUAGAAAGGAAUCGAUUAAGCCAGUUAUGCUCAAUUUAGUAACCCUAAUAACUAGUAGCCCAUUGAUUAGUCGAACCUAGACUAUGUUUAACAACUAGUUUGAGUUUCUAAAUCCUAUUUAAACCAUUCUUAAAUAUUAUUUAAGCCUUUUUAAAGUGUUUUCAAAGUGACUUGCUUUCAAACUUGUAUUUCAUCUUAGUACUAUAGGAAAACCCAUAUUUCUUUGUUCCCUAUACCUAGAUCAAUUUAAGUACAUGCAAAUCUUUCUUAGGCUUUAUCUAAAUCCUAUAUUUAGAGAAAACAAACAAUUUUAAACAAUAAUAAGAUUUAGAUAUCAAAAAAGAAAAAUUUAACUUAAUUUGAAUAUUUUCAAAUCAAAUCCAUGCAGUGAAGUAUUUGAAGAAGUUGUUGGAAGUCUCAUAGACCCACGGUCUUCCGCUCGAUGGCUCUUCCUUAAACCUUGGCACUCAACAGAUGGGAAGAAAAGAAGGGUAGAGGCUAUGACUCUUUCUCUGAAAAUGGAAGACAAGUCUUUAGAAACCCUCCCUAAAUGGGCAUUUAUAAGGUUCUCCAUAAGCUUAAGUGACUUGAGCCCAUUAGGGGCUUGGGUCACUCAAUCUAGACUAAAAAAGUUCUUAAUUGAUUAAUUAACCCAAUACAGCUAUCCAAUUAAUUAAUUAACUCAAUUUAGAGACCUUGUUCACUAACUCAUGUGCAAUCUUAGGUAAUUAUCAAAAUAUUUGUAUGCAUAAAAGUGAACCUAGAGCCAACCCAACUCUCAUAGAUAAUGUCAUCAAGGUAUAUGAGCUUGAGCGGGAACCAUUGGAACCAUUAGAGAAUUAAUUCCAUAAUAAUUCACUUUUGAAGUUGAUUCAACAUCCCACGAUAGAGAAUCAACUACACUUCAGUAUCCUAUGCAAAUAACAAUGAGACAAAGCUUGGAUUUGUGACCUACUGUCCAUUGCAUGUAGAGUACUCCCAAGAACUGGUGUCUAUAAUCUAAUAAGUUAAUGUUAUAUCACCUAUCAAGAUUACCCUUCCAAUCCUUGAAUUACAUAUCUCACUUACUAUAUGAUUAAUUGACAUACUCUACCUUCAAAAAGCAUAUGUCAAGUUUCCAUUAAUGGAAAUGCUAUGACCAAAGUCUUCUAGAUCACAUGCCCUUUAAAUCAACUAAAGGACACACUAUCUCAAACCCAUAAGAUAUUAUGGCUCCUCUAUUGAGAAUACCUAUUACCACCACUAGCCUCCAUCAACAAUGACUCCAUCCAUAAGAAUAUGUGACCACCUUAGGGUCUUACCCAUGGGUCAAAGACUCAAUACCUUCUCAAGGUUGAGAGUCUAUGCAAUAUAGUAGCUUGGUGAAUCAUGAUAAUUAAUUAAUAGUCUUACAUCAUGAUUCACCAUUAGUCUUAUCUAGUGUGCAUUGCAUACACUAGUACACUCACUAUGGGAAAACCAUCUUGAUAACCAAGACAAGUCAUUCCUCCAAUUAAGAGAUAGUGCACUACAAACUCACAUGGAUUUCCCAAAUCCAUGAACUGAUUGUGGACUACUUAUCACUCUACAAGGAACCCAUGACAUGGAUCUUUUGUGCAACUCCUAAUACACCCAAGUCAUAUACAAUGCAAGUGAUGUGAGCAUGUAUGCUCAAAUAACCAAUUGAUGCAUAUGGGAAACCAAAAAACAUAGAUAAAUAAAUUUAUAAAUGAAUCUCAAUUGGUUACUUUAUGUCAUGCUUUAUAGGACUCAAUCCUAACAAGUACACCAUUCAAUUCUAGUUUUUGUAUAUUCCAUUGUACCAAAAUUGUAAACUAGAAGUUUUAUUCUUAUCAAAUUUUUUCUUAUACAUCUUGUGAGUAGGCUUAAUUGUAUAAGGAAUCAAUUUAGUGAAAAAUUUAAGUGUGAGGUAUCACAUAGGGUUGUCCAAGUGUGGAAUGUCACUUAGGGAUCUUUAAGAGUGAGACAUCUCUUAAACAAUGAGGUAUUGCUUAAGAGAAAUUAUAAGUGCCUAUUAGAGACAUCUAUUAAAGAGUGAGGUAUCACUUAAGAAAAAUUAUUAGUGCCCAUUUGAGCUAGUAAAUCCAAGAGUAAAGUAUAAAGGCUUGGUUUGGAAUCAUAAAUAUAGUGGAACCUUAAGCUUGGAUUGAAACUUGAGGAGAAUGGAUAUAGGUUAAGUUGCUUCAAAUCACUAUAAAAUCUUAAGUUCACAUUUCUUUCUUCCCUUACUCUCUUUACUUUAUGUGCAAUUGCUACAAUUGUCACUUGCUUUGUAAGUUUAAAUUUAUAAAAAGUGAUCAUCACCUUAUUCAACCUCCUCUCCCCUCCCUCUCUCUUCUAGGGUGAUUACCUUAGGUUGGUAUAACUAGAAUCAUAACAAUUGAUAUCGAAGUAAGGCCUUUUGCUUAAGACUUAAUAAUCUGUAAGGAAUAACAAAUCAACCUAAUUCUCUACUCAUGGGAGGUUUUUUCAGUUUCAAAAUAGAUGUCAUAUUCCAACUAAAAUUGAAAACAAAAAUAGAUAUCAUAUUUUUUUUCAGAUAUGAUUAUAGGUAUUCAAAAACAAAAAUGACUUGGUUUUUAAAGUCUAUUGAUUUUUAUUUAUGGAAAGUCAUUCAAAAUAGAUAUAAUAUUCCAACUAAAAUUGAAAAUGAGGUAUCCAUUCCAAAGUCAAUCCAUGAGUGAAAUGAGUAAGAAAAGAAAAAUGCCCAAUUAAAUGCUAAAACUAUAUGUCAUAUGCUAGAAUAGAAUCCUUAUAAUCAUGGCAUGAUGUAAUUAGAUUCGGAAUUAAAUUCCUAAAUGAAUUUUUACAUUUCUAAAGAAUCAAAAACUCUUCUAAAGGAAUGGAUAUAGUGUCAAUCAUCAUGAAAAGGAUUAUCAAAUUGGCAUAAGAAGUUUAGAAAUGCUUCAAAUUGUUUUUUCUAUCUUAUCCUAUUGGUUUGAAUUUUUUUCAUAAAGAACAAUUGAAAAUGUAUUGAAUUCUGAUCAUACAAAGAAAAAUCAUUUUAAUGAAAUUGACAUAACAGCUAUCCCAAGGUUUGGAUUAAGAAGAAGUCAUCAUUUAUGAAAACCUUAGGUGAAAUAAAAUGAUCACAUGCUUGCAUGUUUUAAUGAUGUUAAAUUAUGCAUGUUAUGUGUUGCAUCUUUUAAAUUGCAUAUGUUGGGAAAUAACGAUAUGCUUUAAAUGAAAAAUAUUUCAUUCCCUUACCAUUUUUAGAAAAUCAUGCUUUAAAUUGGAAAAUGCUCUAAGAUUGAGAAAAUUUUUAUUUGAAAUAUAUUUUCAAAUGAAAAACAAAAAGAAGAGGAAAAAUGAUGUUAUUCUUAUUAUUUAUUUUUUGUGACAUCAUUUAUGAUUGAUAAAUAAAUUCUCUUAUUAUACUUAAUUGAGACUUUUUGUUGAUGACAAAAAGGAGGAAAAUUAGUAAUAAGUUAUUGUAGUACUAGGAUGAUAAUAUUUGUUUUAGCAAUCUUGAAUACUAAUGCUUCAUACUUCAAUUAUUAUAUACAUGCAUGCAUCCUAUUUGUUAUCUUACCAAUUGCUAAUUGCUCUUUGUGUUGUUAAUAUUUUGGUUAUAUUAUUUUUUAGCACCAAUAUAAUCCUUAAGAUUCUUAAAAUUGAACAUUUUCUAAAAAUCAAGGAGCAUAUAUUAAGGGGAAGUAUUUGAGCAACUUGAUUUUGUCAUCUCAAAAAGGAGGAGAUUGUGAAACUAAAGUUUGGUUAAUUUUUGUUUUGAUGAUAAUAAAACAAAGUUUGACACUAAUGAUUUAUUCUAAGUAUAUUUAGACAAAAAGAUACCUAAAGAAGCAAUAAAAGAAAUAUCAAGUCAAAGGAAAAUCAAGAAGAAGGAGAAAACUUCAAAGAGAAGGGGAAUAAAGACCUAUUAUCUAGGAUCUUUUUGUAAAGUUGUUAGUGCACUAGGUUCAUAUUACAUUACUUUUUUUAAUUGAAGCACAUAAAUUCAUCUAAGUAUCUAAAUCGAUUUUAUUCUCUUAUAAACUAAAUGAUUUCAUGUUCUUGAUUAAAACUAUGAAUCUAAUUCUUUCUAAACUUGUUUUAAAAGAUUUAUGAAGUUGAAUAUAAGUUGUUAGAGGUUCCAAGCCUCAAACUAGGUCUUUUAUGCACUUUACAAUGCAAUCGGUUGAGGCAAGGAAGAACAUGUUCAAUUGAGGUGCACUUGCACUUUGUUUCUUUUAGUAGCAUGUGUUCAACCAUUGACGUUAAGCCUCAACUAGUUGAGUCGAUUGGCCAACAAUAAACGCAAUGGCUAGUAGUUUGUUGAUCGGUUCAUCAACUUGUUAAACCUAAACUAUGCUUAAGAAGCAUGACUAGUUUAGGUUUCUAGCUCUUAUUUAAAGGCUCCAAGAUUCUUGUAUUAAUGGGAAAGAGUUCUAAAUGAUUCUUAAAUAUUAUUUAAGCUUGAAGGAGUGUUUUUAAAGUGUACUUAAAGAGUUCAUCUUAGUGCACCGUUCAACCUUAUUUUUCUUAUAUUCCAUUAUGCAAAAAUUGCAAACUAGAAGUUUUAUUCUUAUCGAAUAUUAUUUUAUAUACCUAGUGAGUUGGGCUCAAUUGUAGGGUAUCACUUGAGGGAAAAAUUUAAGUGUGAUGUAUCACAUAAGUUUUGCCAAGUGUGAGGUAUCUCUUGGAGAUCUUCAAGAGUAAGGCAUUUCUCAAGGAAAAAUAUAAGUGCCCACUGAAGCCAAUUAAUCCAAGUGUAAACCUUGAAGGCUUGAUUUGGAAGCUUUGGGAUAGUGGAGUCUCAAGCAUGGGAUUGAAUCUUAAAGAGAGUGGAUAUAUGCUAGGUUGCUUGAACCACUAUAAAAUCUUAAGUUUACAUUUCUCUUUUCCUUUACUUUCUUUACUUUAUAUGCAAUUGCAUUUCAUUAUACUUGUUAUAUUAUUACAUACAAUUGUCACUUGCUCUUUAUAUUUAAAUUUGUUAAAAGCAACCAUCACCCUAUUCACCCUCCCCUAAGCAAUUAUCUUAGGUUGGUAUAGUUAAAACCCUAACACUAUUUAAUUAAGACUUAUUUACUGCAUUUAGGUUUUAUUUCUUAGUACCUUGGUUCUAUUUGGAAUCUAAUGAUCUAAAUUUUAUUAAAUACAUUAAUGACUCAAAUUUGAAAUUUAGUACCUAAUAAGUACCUUAUCAUUUUCCUAACUUGGAUACAUAUUUUUCAUCCAUUACUUAAUAACUUAUUAUUAUUAGUAAUGAAGAUUAAUAAUCAAAUGACUUGCCACAAGUGUAUGCAUGAGCACAAUGUUUAUGGUUAUCAUUAAUGGGUAAGUAGAAGUGCACCUUAAACAACAGCAACUCUUUUUGUAGUUGGGAUGCAGGGCUUUGCAUCUUUUCACUAGCUUGACUUUUUCUUUUUAGGCCAACCAUAUGUAGUAAGGAGUUCCCUUUUUUAUCUAUAGCUGAUAAUAGACUUCUUGCAAGCAAUUCAGAUUUUGAUACUAUAUCAAAAAUUUCAAUAUGACGGUAAAGGAUUGCCACAUGUAGUAUGUUCAUUCCCUCCUUAUUAGUAUGCUCAAGUGCUUGAGGAUGACAAACCAGUAUUUCUUCAACAAUGUCUUGAAUGUUUGAUAUUGUUGCCAAAAAUAAUGGAGCUUCAUCGCUCUUCUUGUACUUGUAGUUGGUUGAACUUUCUUGGUAGUUUUGCCCUUCAUUUUCUUGGAAAUUUUGGCCUUUCUUUUCUUGGGAUAUUUUUUCUUCCUUUUCUAUAUCCAACUCCUUAGUCUCACCUAAGCCAACUUCUUGAGAAUUAACACUAGGAUGCCAUGAUGUAUCAUUCUUUACCAAAAGCUUGACGAGUCCUUGAAGUGAAUAGCAUCUGCUUUUAGUAAUAUGAGACAUGUUAGAUUACUUUUACAUAAUAUAUUGAAAUACAAAAAUGUAUCACAAGUAAAUAAUCUAGUAUUAUAUGAUGUUUAGGUAUGGAAUAUUAUUAUAUUGAAAAGGGUAAUUGAAAUCUAAUAGUACAUAUUAAUCCAACCACAAUAGCUUUCAAUAAUACAUUUGUAAUUUAAUCGAUUAUAAAGGGUGAGGAAUAUUUUACAAUUUCUUUUACAAGUAGUGCAUAGAUGGAUCUAUAAAGAAGAUUUUGUUUUCCUUUUCUCUUUUUUUAAUAUUUUCUAAAGGCCUUUUAAAGUUAUAAAAAAUUGGGUAAUUGCCAAAAAUGAGAAAUAGUCACAUGGAAAAAUAGUUUCAUUUCUUUUCUACAUUGCAUUUGUAUUGAAAUAUCAUUUUUUUCAUAUUUAAUGUAUUCAACAUUGCCUUGGUAUGAUAUCUAUUUGUUUAUACCUUAGAGUUGUUCUUUAAAAGUGUGAUCUUUGUAUGAAAAUAUUUAUUUUUUAAAUUUUCCUUCUUUCACUUUGAGUAAAAUAAAAAUGGGUUCUAGAAUAUGUGCAUGUGAAGGAUUCCCCUUUUGAUCACUCCUAAUCAUAUAAUUAUUUAUCUACCAAAAAUUUCACAUAGCGUGGCUGAAAGUUAUAUACCUAAAUUAUUUAAUAAUCUCCUAUACAACUUAUGUAACCUAUCAUAACUUAAUUUAUAGAACCAAAUGUUUUUGAACAAAAAAUUAUAUAUAUAUAUAACUUAUAAAAUUUUCAAUUACCAUUUUCAAUAAUCACUUAAUAAAUUUGAGUUUAAAUAUAGAUUUAUGAGGGAUUUUUUGUCAUCCAUUAGAAAUUGGCAUCAUAUGGUUUAGAAAACAUCAUUACUUUGUACUUGAUUAUUAUGAUUUACAUAUUUAACUCUCAUUCCUUUCUAUAACUAAGUUAUGUUUCUUCAUUUCUUUAUUCAAUGGUCUAGAUUUACCCAUACACAUUAAUGACUCAAAUUCAAAAUUCAAUAAAAUAAUAAAUCGGUAUCCUAAAUUUUUUUUCUAUGAAAUCUAAAAGAAAAAUUGAAGCCUUUUUGAGCCUAACAAUAGGCUUGGGUUGAGUAUUGAGUCUUUUGAGCAUUUCAGAUGUUGGUCAAUCAAGAAUUGUUGUAUGUUCAAGAAAGAAUUCAUGUAGUUUGAGAAGCAAUUUGCAAAACCUAUUAAUAACAUUUGUCUAGUUACAAAUUGUAGUGAAAAGCUACCCAUGUGUGUUUCUUUAAUUUGUUUUCCUUUAAGGAAUUAUGUAUGAUAAAAUUUAUCAAGUAUUUAGUUUGAAUAUAUUUAAGGAUAUAAAAGAAAUAAUGAUAUAUGUAUAAUUUUUUAAUUUAAAUUUUUUUAUAAUUUAUUUAUAAAUUUUAGUUUUUUGACAUUUAAUUAUUACACAAAAAAAUAUAAACAUAUUCAUUAAGAAGAUUAUUAUGAUAGUUUUUAUAUUUUGGAUGAUAAGGCAAUGAAAUUUACAAAUAAAAUUUGUUAGCCCAAGGGUUCUUCUAAUCCCAUUUUAAUGAUAACAAACCAUGGUUAAGUAGCUAAUUGGUUUAAAUUAUAAAGAAUUUCAGGUGUUAGUUUGGAAAUUCAUCAAAUGACUCAAUGGAUUCAAGAUCAAGACAUUUGGAAGACCUUUAAUCAUAAAAAACAUAUGUAAGACGAAUGCAUGGGUGCACUUAGGAUUUUUUAUGAAUUCCCCAAUUUUUUAUGGCAAAUGCCAAGGGAAUUUUGAUUUUUGGUAAAACAAAUUGACCAUUUUCUAAGUAUAUAUUUAUAUGAUGUUCUAUAUGAUGCAUAUGAUUGCAUGCUGUGAGAGCAUCACUCAAGUACUUCCCUAUGGUCGCUUCCUUUCCCAAGUAUUCAAGGAUGUUGGCAUUAACCUUAGUAGAGAGACGAACUUUGAGGAUCCCAGUACAUAUGAUACAUAUGAUGAUCAAUCCAUGGGGCGAAUGAAAUUUGAGAAGACUCCAGAUGGUUUUUGGAUCAGAAAAGCAAAGAGAGCAUUGCCAUGGGGACAACAAUAAACACACCUUAGAGUUGAGAAGGAGGCAAGGAUUAAGCAGAUGAAGAGUGGAGUAGAACCUCAAGGUAGACUAGACCCUCAGAGUGGCUACUAGCAGAGAGGGCUCGAGCUUGAUAUUCCCUUACUUCAAGCAAAGAUUCCUUCAUAGAUCAGGGGUGUUUAGUUUGAGUCCACUUUCUCUAAGUCGAUGAUGACUUAGCCAGCUUUUAUAGACGAACCAUCUACUCAACCAUUAUACACCGAGCCCACCUAUACUAAGAUACCACAGCCUCAGGUACCUUCUACUCCUAACCAUGCUCCUUGAAUGGAUUUAUUUGCUCGAAUUAGCUUUCUUGGUACUUGUAUGGUGGAGCUUGUAGUGGUCAGUGACACAUGAUUUAUUCUAUGGAGGAUAUGAUGGACAAGAAUCAGACUGUGUUCACUUCGCAGUUUGAGUAUCUCCAGUAGAGGAUUAAUUGCAUUAAGGAUUGCAUGGUGCGUUAGCAUGAGGACAUUAUGGCCUACUUGCGUUCCGUGUUUCUACCUCCACCUCCUCAACCUUGAUUCAUUUAACAACUCCCUUAUUCCUUUUUUAUGUUGCCAAAGGGGAAGAUAUUUUAGGAUCUAGGAGGCUAGAUAUAAGAGACUCAUACAUGCAUAUCAUCUUUGUUAGAUCAUACAUUGCUUAUCUUUAGUUAUGUUAAUUUGAUUGGACAUAUGAUGUACAGACUAAUACAUUUGACUUAUGAUGUAUGAUAUGCCUAUAUAUUUGAUGACUUGUAUUGUUUGUUGUUGCAAUACUCUCUAACAUGUCUUGAUCUUUGUUUUCAAUUCUUAAAUUUUGAUUGUUAAUUCAUGAUUAGUUUAAGGGGAAGAUUUUUUUCCUCCUAGAUAACCAAGGUUUUUCAUCAUAAAAAAGGGGGAGAUUGUUACCCUAAGGGUUCUCCUAAUCAUGUUUUAAUGAUAGUAAAUCAUGGUUAAGUGGCUAAUUGAUUUGAUUUAUAAAGAAUUUCAGGUAUUAGUUUGGAAAUUCAUCAAAGAAAUCAAUAGAGGCAAGAUCAAGACAUUUGGAAGACCUUUAAUCAUAAGAAACAUAUGUAAGAUGAAUGCAUAGGUGCACUUGGGAUUUUCAUAUCUUUUCAUACAUUUUUAAAAACUGAGUUUAUGCAUUAAAGUUACAUUUCCAUCAAAAACCCAAGUUUUAUCAAAUGAACCUUAGGCAAAUCAUUUAAAAAUUGGCAUAUUAAUUUACUUAAAGACCUUGCCAAGUGUUAGAAGAGAAAAAAAAAAAAAAAAGAUAGGUUUUGGGCCAAAAAAGAUGAACCGAUUGAGGUAGUGGCCAAUGGGCUCAAUCAACUAGGGUACCGAUCAACCAGUUACACUUUCCUAGUCGAUUUCCAAUCGAGAGAUGCAAAAAAUCUUCUCUCUCUUCCAAUAGCCUUUCUUUCUCGGUCGAGGGAUAUCUCUUCCCAAUCGAGGUCCACUCAAGGCCUAAUGGCCACCUACCAUGCAUUUAAUGCCCAACAGCUAGUGAACCAAUCGACCCCCAACUCGACCAAUCAAGACUACUUUUUGGCAUUUUGGCUCGUGACGCUAGAAACCUAUAAACUGAGAGUUCCACUUCAUUUAUGAGUAAGAGAACACCUGAAUUUAUUUGUUUACCUACUUGUUCUUAUCGCAAAAGCUCUCAUUCUUUCUUUGGUGCAUUAAACCUUCAUUUGCAUAUUCCUUAGUGCACCCUUGUGAUUCUUCUUAGCUUUUAAGUUGUAUUUGAGCCCUUGUUGAGUUAGGAUGAGAGAUUUAAGCUUAUUAUUUGAGUGUUAAAAGCUUCAAGUGAGUAGAGAUUUGAAGAGAUUGUAUAAGAACCCAUUGAAGCCAGAAUCCAAGUGUAAAGGUGAUUAGAAGCUUGGUUGAAGCUUCAAGUAUAGUGGAACCCUUACUCGGUUAAGAGCUUGAGGAGAGUAGACCUAGGCAAGGAAGUGUUGAACCACUAUAAAAUCCGAGUUUGCUUUAUCUAACCUUAUCUAUAUAUAUUUGUGCUUCUUGUGUUUAAAUUUAUUGUGUUUGAAAAAGAAUUUUAAUAUUUCAGGUUUUAUUUAAUUCAAAUUAAUUAAUUUAAUCAGGUUUUAUUUUAAUAUUUCUUUUUUUUUUUUUUUUGCAUGGGAUGUCAAAAUAUCAUAAAUAUCAACAGUUAGUCUUUCUCUUGGUGGACCAAUAUUCUAUCAAUAUAUUUGACAAUCUUGUCCAAUUUUUGGCAAGCAAAGAUUUCAACCUUUUUUUUUUUUUGUAUUAAGGCUAGUAUGAUAUAUCGAAAUUUUGAUUAUAUUUCUAGAAAUUUUAAUCUUUGUAAAUAACUACUAUGUUUUAAUUUUAAAAAUAAAAAAUAAGAAGUAUAUCCAAUUGAUACCUUAGUGCUCAUUUAGAUAUGCUUCUUGGUUUUUAUUUUGAAGGGUAGAAAAUAAUAAUAACUUCUAUAAAAUAUAUAAAAUACAAUAACUUUUAUAUAAAAAGUACAAACUUAACUUAUGUUCUUAAAAAUAUAAACUUAAAUUAUAUUUUUAAAAAUUACUUUUAAAUUUUCUAAAAUUUGAAGUAAUAUUUUUUUUAAUAUCUCAUAUUUUUUAAAAAAUUUAAAAAUCAUUUUUUUUUAAUUAAGUUUCAAAGAGUUCUUAUAUUUUAUAGAGAUAUUAUGAUUACUUUCUAUUUUAGAAAAGAGAAACAAAAAGUUUAUCCAAAUUACACCUUAUUUUCUAUUGGAGACACUUAUUAUUUUUUAUUUUUAAAUGUAGAAAAUAGUAAUAGUUUCUAUAUAUAUAAUAUAGGAUUUCUUAGAGGUUUAUAUUGAAAAUGUUAUGGAUUUAAAAAUUGAUUGAAAAUUGAGAUAAUAAAAAAAUUUACUAUCUUAAAUUAUAAAAUUUAUUAAAGUAAUUUUUAAAGACAUAAGAUAUGUUUACCUUUUGUUUUAAAGUUUUUACUUUUUAUUUAGAUGUCUCAUAUUAUAUAUAUAGGAAAUGGAAACAGUGGGUGGUUUGAAGGCCACUAAAUAAUAAAUGUGAUAUCCUACAUUGGAUAAGGGAAAAUUUUUUUAGUGUUAUAUAUAUAUAUAUAUAGACUUCUUUUAACCUUGUAGACACAUUUUAAAGUCGCGAAAGCCCCUUUAGGUCUAUAGUGGUUAAUAUCUACACGAUUGAAAGCGAGUCAUUACAAAUGUAUCAAAGUUGAUCCUCGACUCCUAUAUGGGGGUUUCUUUUGGCUUCAUGAGAAGUGUUUCUCUAUUUGACCCUACAAUCUCGUGAGACACAACGAGUAUAUUGUAUUUAUAUGACGGAGGAGGGACUGGGGUAUUUAUGUCUCACAUGGGAUAGGGGAAUAUAUAUAUAUAUAUGAGUUCCUCUUAAUCUCGUAGACAUUUUAAAGUUAUAAGAGUCCCUUUAAGCCCAAAGUAAAUAAUAUCUACACAAUUGGGAUGAGACCGUUACAAUAGAUAUAAUUUUUAAAACUGAGAUUAGAAUCAAGAAAGGAGGUUUUCUUGGUCAGACCAUGGGUGGGGCAUUUUUACAAAAGAUUGAUCAUAUUCUUCCUCCUCUUGGCUAGAUGCAUUAAAUUGAAACAAAAUCUUAUUUACUUAGGAAGUAUGUCCAAAUGAAGCACUAAAAUUUAAAUUUCUAAUUAUAUUUUAAAUUUCUUAUGCAAGAGCUUUUAAGAACACUAACCUUCAAAAUAAAUAAGUAUGGUGCUUACCAAAACUUUUCAAAACUCACCUCUCAUCACUUGUCUUGCUGUUAUCCUUGGGGGGCCACUCUGGAAAAGAACUUCAAUUGUAAGAUGUUUAGACCACUAUUUGUUAGGAAAAAAAAAAAACAAAUGUAACAGAAAAGGAAAGAAGCACUACUUAACAAUUAUAAGAAGUUGAGGUAAAUAAUUAGUGGUGAAUGGAUAUAAAAAGGAACCAAAUUUUCUUAAACAAAUCCAUCAAACCAAAUCCUUAUUUUAUUGGAUAGGAAAAUUUGAGGAAAAAAAAAAUACAUCCAUUAGAGCCCCAUUUCGUAAUAUGGAAGAAAUUAUAGACAUCGAAUUUUACUUGCUCAAGUUCCAUUCUACACCAUGCAUGGGUUCUAUUCUAUUUAUUGAGCGAAUAAAUAUUAAAUCCAUUAAAAUAUUUUCAAUUGAGUUGGAUUAACUUGAAAGCUUGGAUGUUAACCACACAUUGUUUUAUAAGAUAGCUAACUAAUUUGUUUCCAAACUAUAUUUUUCAAAGAGAGAGAAAGAGAGAGAAAGAGAGAAAAUGUAUAAAACUAUAUUUAGCAUUCCUAAAUUAUGUUAAUGCCCAUACCCAAUUUCUAAAAAAUGUUAUUAUCUAAAUAAAUAAAUAAAUAAAAAACAAGAAUAAUUGAGUAAAUGAAGAAUAGAUAUUGAUGAGGAAGGAGUUAAAUGUACUAUACUGGAUUUAAUGAGUAUCUCCAUGAGUCCUUGUGUUGGUACUGUUGAGAUCAUGAGUUCCUCCAUGAAUCCUCGUCUUGUUUUUAUUUUCUUCUUUUCAAAUGCAGUUGGAUUGCAUGCAAGAUAUUGAAGAGCAGUCAUUGAAUCUGGAUCUCUUUCUUCAAUUAAAUAUGAGUAGCUCUCCGCAAUAAAAUGGGCCAAUUCUAUUUCAUGUUAAUUUUGUAGAGAUAACACAAAAAACAAAAAUGUUAGAUUAGUAACCUAAUGUUGUCUUUGCAUCCCAAAAAAUAUUUGAAAAAGAAAAUAUACAUAAAUUAUCUUAUUUGAUUAAUUAUUUAAAAUUUAUAAAUUUUUAUAAACAAAGAAAAACAAAGAAAAAUAAAUUUGAAGAUGAUAUUUAAGUAAAGCUUAUUGAUUUUAAACUUAUUAUUAACUUUUUAAUUUGUUUUUUGGAUUUUUCUUUAUUUUCUUUCCUUGAUACUUUCUUCAUUUCUAAGAUCCACAUGGCAUGCACCUAGACUAAAGGGCAUAUGCAAAUUAUGUAAAACACGUAACUUAAUAUUUUUUUUUUUUACUAGUAACAUUUAUGUUUUGAACUUUGAAAAGAAGACAUGACAUGAUAUGUCCCCUUAAAGUAUAAACUCCCUUUGUACUAACCCAUCACAUGCCUUUCAAGCUUAACCAAUUAAAUAUGAAGUUUUUAAAUUAUUUUAAGUGGGUUAUGAAUUUUCUUAACCAACAUAGUUUUGGGUACCAUUUUUAGGCCUAAAAAAGAGGUUUUGAAUAAUAAAAACUCUUUUGCUGUAUAUUUGAUUACAUUUAAGAAGUUGUUUGGAGAAAAAUAUUUAAGACUUAAAAGUAGCAAAAGUUACAAUAUAGUAACUGUUGGCCAAAAAGGGCUUUGGGAAGCUAAUAUUUCUUUAAAAGUUUAUUUAAAAAAUUAUAUCAAUAUUUAUAACUUCAUUUAAAUUUGGUAACCAAGCAUGCGUCCGGCUACAUUUUUAGUAUUUUUUAAGAGUAAAAUAUAGUCAUAAAUUCUAUAUAAAAACUAGAACCUUAUAUCUUUAAAAUUUUUGCAAUUUGAGGUAGAUAAAUUAAAUAUUUUGAUACCUUAAUUUGUAAAACCAUUUUUUUUUCUUUUUUUUCUUUUUUUAUCAAUCAUUCAUUGCUUUUCAAUGUAAGUAUCUAAAAAAUUCUGGUAUUUUAUAUGUUAUUAUUUUGUAAUUUUAAAAAUAGAAAUGAAAUGAAAAUAAUAAAUCUAUUUUCAAGAAAUUAAAUAUAUUUCUUAAGAAGUCCCUUUAAGGAGGAGUUAAGCUACUUCAAACAAGGCUUUAAUUAGAACAUGUACUAAUCUUUUAAAUUUUCAGCACUUAGGUUUAUUAGAAAACGCUAUCUAAAGCUUUGUUUGGAUUGUAAAAUAUAGUAGAAAAAAUAAAAAUAGAAAUGAAAAGUUAAUUUACCUAGAAAAUAAUGAAAAAAAAUAGAAUAAAAAAUAAUUAGAAAAAAAGAAAAGAAAAUAAUGAGUUUUUAUGCACUCGUGUAAAAAUAAUUAUAAAAUAAAAAUCUUCUAAAAAUAAUUCAAAUUUUAUGCAUUCAAGGGUCAAAAAUAGUACUUAAGAUAAUGAAAGGUAAUACCUAUAUUAUUAAAAUGUAUAAAUAUUAAUUAUUUUUAUAUAGCUAUUUGAAAUUUAUAUUUUAUAAACUUGAGUUUUUAUUUAUGGUUUUUUAUUUAUUUAAAUGUAUGAAAAUACACUUUUCCAAAAAAAUAAAAUAGAAUGAAAAAUAUUUAAAGUUUAUAUAUACAUGAGAGAAAGAAGAAAAAGAAAUUGCGAGAAUGAUAUAAGAAAGAUCUAUUAUGUUGAGCUUUUUAUAUAUAUAUAAAUAUUUAUUCAAAAUUUUCUAUUUUGGACUUUUUCUUAUUUUUAUUUUUCCAUUUCUCAAACAUAUUUUCCAUCAUCCUCCUAUUUUCACAUCUUGCAAGAACAUGAAACAUCCUCACCUAACGUACCUAGAUUGGUUGGGGUUUAGCCUUCCUUAACCUACACUUGGGAUAGCCUAUAAUUUCUAUAUUUAAUAAUAGAAAUGGAUAUUAUAGGAAAAAACUUGCAGAUGAAUUGAGAGAAGAACUCACCAAAACACUCGGUCAAGAUGGAAAUAUGAAGAACUGUUGUUCUAUCAUCCCUCUGCAAAUAGUGUUUACCCUCUUCUGGAUUUAGUUCCGUUAGUCCCAUUUUCCCAGCCAGAAACUUAAACAUUUCAGUUUGGCCGUAGCGGGCUGCACAAAAAAUAGGCGUCUCUCCUAAGUCGUUAGGCGCAAUUAGCAACUCUGAAUCUCUCUUCAACAUCUCCUCCGCCACAUCUUUCAUAGUAUCACUGGCCGCUACUUCGUGGAGUAUAUUGCUGCCGGCGUUGUUUUUUGUAGCGGCAAGUUCAUGGUUGCGUUCUUUAGGCAACAUUUCCAGUAAGUCGCGCACCAGUUUACUUCGUUUGAAGCGAGAGGCCAUGUGGAGGACUGUGUCAUUGUAAACACUAAUUCUCUGUAGCGGGCCUUCACGAUGAGAACUGCAGAGUUGGGUCACCUUCUUGUCGUCUUUGCUGAUCAAGUGAAUGAACAAUUGAUCUUGGAGUUCCUGUUGGUCGGUAGAGUUGGUGUCGGCCAUGAGAGCGUCUUUGGAGAGGGAUGGGGUUCUUACAGCGUUCCAGAGUCACUGCAAAAUCCCAAUUCAUAAGGUUAUAAGCAAUCUUAUAAAACUUGGAUGGGAGUGGCCAAACAAACCGUUGACCGGUCUUCUAUCGGAUUCCAUUUGCUAAUUGAACCGCUUCAAGCUUCAAAAACGAAUUAAACCGAGAGAAGACUCGAAUGAGAGACUUUCCAUCGAACCAAGUUUUGAUGUCAUCUUCAACUAUUAUUUUUUAUUUUUUAUUUUUUAUUUUUUAUUUUUUAUUUUUUAAUAGAGGCCCGACACUUGAUUUUUUUAAUUUUUAUGAAACCAUUAAAUGGUUGAUCCCAUUGCUUGUUUCAUAAAUGUCAAAGGGCAGUUCCAACCCUUCUUUUUUCCCCCCGCACAUUCCUUAAUAUGUAUUAAAUAUAAAUCAUCAAGUAAAAGUGUUUUCUUAUGGCAUGAAUUAUUUGUAAUUAAUAUAUAAACCACACAAAAUUAUAAAAAAUCAUAAAAUGCAAAACUAAUAAUAUAUGAAUAAUAUAAAAAAUUAUUUGAUUAAUAAAAAAUAUUCAUAUGUUUGUAUAAUAUGGUUAUCAUGAUUAAUAUAUACUAAUAUUAAAAAUAAAAUGAUGAAAUAGUUUAAUAAUAUAUGAAUUAUAAAUUUAUGAUGUUAUUAGUUUCAUCAUAGUUCAACUAUCAAUUUUAACCAUAAAUCAAUAACUUUUCCUAUUUAAUGACUUGUUUGGUUUUGAAACAUCGGUUAUAAGGGGUUAUUAAAAGAACAAAAAAAUGGUAAUUUAAUUAAGGCCAUUUUUUUUCAAUAUCUCUAAAUAUAUUCAAGAUAAAAAGAAAUGGUUUUACUAUUAUUAUUAUUAUUAUUUAAAUAAGAGUGUUUGGGAUGUUUUUGUAAAAAUAAUUUUUAAACAAGGAAAUAAAAUAAUUUUCAUUUUUAAAAAAAAAUUAAUUUUCUACUUUAAUUUUGUAAAAAGUUUUAAUAUUAAAUUAAAUUUAAUACAAAUCUUAUGAAAAAAUAAAAAAUAUUUUUUGCAAUUAUAAAUGAAUUAGAGAUCAUUUUUUUUUUAUAAUAUGUAAACACUAAUAUUAUAAUAAAGAACAAAUUAUAUUAUUUUUUGUUGGAAAAAAUGAUAAUAUUUUAACAGAUUUAAAGGAAAAUUAGGGUAUUGAAUUAGCACCUAUGGAACAUAUAAUCUACAUCAAUGAAAGUGUAUAGUAAAAUCUAAACCAUUGAAUAAAUGUACAAAUAAUCAGACCCAAGUAUAAAAGAAUAGAACUAUGUACAAUAAUGAGAUCAAUGUAUAAAAUAAUAAAUCAAUCAAAAUAAUGGGACCUAUUCAUAUGUAGUGCAAUUUGAUUCACAUUUUUUGAUAUGUAGCAAUUCAACAUUGUAGUGAGACUCAAAUAUGAAAUAUGGAUGUUAAUAUUUUAAUAUAAAAAAAUAAGUUAUAUUUUUUUAUUAAAAAUUAAUAAUAAGUUUUUGUAAAAAAAACAUGGAUUAAUAAUAUUUUAUUUAAAAUGAAUAGUAAAAAGAAGUAUAUUAAUUUUUUUAAUAAAUGAAUAAUCUUUGUUUUUAACUAAUGUACAUGUUUACUAUAUCUAAUUAUCUUUAGUAUUUUAUACCAAAUUUGGUCUUGGAAUUUUUGGCAUUAGACGAGUUGCAAACACAAUUCUGGGCUUUUAGGAAGUCCAUCAAUACAUUUAUGAAAUGGUGCAUGCACAUGCUAAUGUUUUGAAGCAAAAUAAAUGUUUUUGUCCUAUCAAACAAAGCUUAAAAAUUCUUGACUAUAAUUCUCAUUAUCUAUCCAUAUGAGACUAAUAAGCAAGGAUAUAAUUAUAGGCUUCCCAAAUCUCAGCAUGCAUAUAAUUAGAGAUAGUUUAUUAAAACAAGGUCAUGACACUUACAACAAUAAGAUGAAAAGCUGCUUUGUAGUUUUAAAAAAACUUUUUUUUUCUAUUAUAAAAAUUAAAAAGUAAAAAAAAAAAUUAUGUAAAACUUCAAAAAUUGAAUUAUAUUUAAGAAAGAUUAUAUGAUGUUUCAUAUAUUUAAAAUACGGUGUCUUAAUAAUAUAAAAAUACAAUUUCUAAGAAAUUCAAUGUUUUUUUUUAUGAAUUUUUGGUCAAAAUGACCCCUUUUAAAACUUAUAUCCAAUGUGAUAUCUUUUCAAUCACAUGAGUCUCACAUCAUUCUCCCAUAAAAAUAUAGCUGCAAUUGACAAUUAAGAUUUCAAUUAAAAAAUGAAGUUGCAAUUACCAAUUGAUACUUCGAUUAAAAAUUGAGAUUGCAUUUUUUAACUGAAGUCUUAAUUGGUAAUUGAGGUUUCAAAUUAAAAAAUGAAGUCAUAAUUAACAAUUAAAACUUCAUUUUUCUAACUAAACCCUCAAUUGCUAAAUAAAACCUUAACUUAAAUUAUAUAUAUAUAUAUAUAUAUAUAUAUAUAUAUAUAUAUAUAUAUAUAUAUUAUUUCUAGAUGGUAAUAAAAUGGUCACUUUGAACAUAAGUUUGACAGAAUGGUUAAACUUAAUUUUUUUCCCAUAAUGGGGCUAUUUUGGCCCAAAACUCAUUUUCUCUAACCUAACAUGAAUAUAAAAACUUGAGAUGAUGAAAUCAUUGUUUAAUAUAUUUAAAAUAUAGUACCUUACUAAUUAAAAUAAUAUAAAAAGUGAAUAUACGCAUUUGUGGACCCUACAUUUCGCUCGAUGCGUUCUCACUUGAUGACAAAACUCGCUUUUUUAUUUUAUUUGGUGAAAAAUUAUGAUUUUUAGAAAAAUACUUGGAGUCACCACUUAUUCUUGUUUUAUUUUUUAAGGAAAAAAAAAUUUAAAAUUAAAAAAAAAAAAAAAAAACCUAAAUGUGACUCCUGAAGGAAAAACAAAUCUACGAAAAAUCGAGUUUAGGUUUGAAAGUCAGGUUAUUAGAAAGGUACAGUAAAGACCGUAACACCCCUCUAAGUCCCUAAAAAUGAAUAUCUACUAAAUAAAAUGAAGCAAAUGUGGCAAUUAAUAAGGAAAGUAAUUGAUACCAAUGAAAUUAUCAAAUAGUAAAACGAACCAUGCAUAAGAACAAGCAAAGUGAGAGUGAAAUCGUACCUUAAUAGCAAGUAAUAGUGCGUUAUCAUAGAAACAAGGUUAGUUCAAGUACAAAAUUAUCACAUGCACAUCAAAAAGCAAUCCAAACAUCAAACAAUGUCCUUUAAGCAUAACAGUCGACAAUCAGAAGAGAAAAACUCAUAUAUAGGACCCUCACUAAAGCCCAAUUGAUUUUGCAUAAAUCAAUCUCACAAAUUCCAUUGUUUUGGAAUUAUGAAAAUGAUCUUCAUACUUAUUAAAAAUCAAGGAAAACGGAAAAUUAUUUUAAAAUCAAAGAAAAUUUAUACAAGCGCAUACCAAAAUGAGAAUGACAACAGACUUAUUAAAAUCAAGAUUUUUCGCAACCUAAAACCUUAAUAAAGGAUGAAAAGUUGUAGAAUUAAAAAAAUAUUUAAAACUGGAGUGGAAUUAAAAUUAUUCAAAAGAAAACUAGAGUUUUGAAAUUUAUUUGAAAAUUGAAAAUUUGAAAAUUAUUUCAAAAUUAAUUUGAAAAUUGGAAUUUUGAAAUAUUAUUUGAAAAUGGGAGUUUUGAAAAUUAAAUUUAAAAAUUAAGGUUUUAAAAUUUAAAUUUGAAAGAAAUUGGAGUUUUAAAAAUUAAUUGAGAAUUGGAAUUUUGAAAAUUAAAUUAUGAAAAUUGGAAUCUUGGAAAUUAUUCGAAGGUAUAAUUUUAUAAAUAAAUAAAUAAUAAUAAUAAUAAACAAAUUUAAAAUUUGAAAUUUUAGAAAUUAAAAAUUAAAUUCAAAAAUUAAAAUUUUGAAGAAUUAUUUAAAAAAUGAAUUUUAAAAAUAAACAAAUAGAAUAAUAAUAAUAACAAAAAUAUAAUGAUUAAAUAAAUAAAUAUGAAAAUUGGAAUUUUGGAAAUUUAAAUUUGGAAAUCGAAAUUUUGAAGAAUUAUUUAAAUAUGACAUUUUAAAAAUAAAUAAAUAAAAUAAAAUAAUAAUGACAAAAAUAAUAAUGAUAAAAUAAAUAAAUGUGAAAAUUGAAAUUUUAGAAAUUAAAAAUUAAAUUUGGAAAUGGAAAUUUUAAAAAAUUAUUUAAAGAUGAAAAUUUAAAAAUAAAUAAAUAAAUAAAAUAAUAAUGAUUACAAAAAUAAUAAUGAUAAAAUAAAUAAAUAUGAAAAUUAAAAUUUUGGAAAUUAAAAAUUAAAUAUAAAAAUUGGAAUUUUGAAGAAUUUAUUAAAAAACGAAGUUUUAAAAAUUAAAUUUAAAAAUUGAAAUUUUAAAAAAUUAUUUAAGAAUUGAAUUUUUAGCAAUCAUUUAAAAAUUGGAAUAAAAAUGAGAUUUUUCGAGAAAUCGGGAUUUUAAUAAUCAUUUAAAACAAAAAAUUUACGGAAAUCAAACUUGGACACGUGGAAAAAAAAAAAAAAGUUCCACCAUGAGACCACAACUGCACCAUUUCACUGCCACUUAAUGAGACCACAACUGCACCAUUUCACUGCCACUUAUUUAUUCAGAAAACUUGAAGUGCCCUGCCACUUAUGAAAAUUCCCAUGCCACCCUUGACUUGUCAUUCACCGUUUGCUUACACCGCCUUAUGUCAUUAGUGCGCUACCAGCUUCUGUAGGUGAAGUAAUGAAGCCCCACUUCUCCAUGAAAUGCACCAACUUGCUGCCUAUUUACACCUGGCAGCACCUAAGUCACCAUGCAGGGCCUCGUUCCACCUCCCAAAGGCGGCAACCCUGAAAUCCUUUCCAAGCUUCCUUUCUCAUCUUUGCUUUCCCCGCGUUCAACUUAUCCAUUCCGAAAAAGAAUUUUUGAACAGAAGUUCCCAAGUCUCCAGCUGUAUAUGCUUCAUUCUUGAGCACCUGUCGUUGAAGAUACUUGGCACAAAACUUUGCAACUACCUUACCUCCAUAGCCAUCACAAACACCAAAAAAACGAAGUGGAAGCAUCCAGAUCAGGGUAUGCAGCAUGAGCAUCUUCCAUGGUUGCGCGCCAUCCUUGCAUGGAUGAUGAACCAUAUCUAACCCUGCCAUUCUCACCAUCCUCAGAUAACUUCUCAGUUUUUGGGGUGCUCAGGUAUAUACCCAUCUCUAGCUGCGCGAUUGGCUCAGAUUUAUGUUCUGAAAGCUUGAACUCUAGGACUCUGUUCUCUGCCUUCUGGAAGGCUAGAAUCCUCCUGUCAAGCUCUUUCGCAAGACCGUCCCCCUUCCUCUUUUGUUGUCGUUCCUCCCCUUGAUGAAUCCACAAAGCUUUUAUAUCCUUCCCAAGGCUUUUCAUGGCCCGGGAAACAGUCUCGUCCGGCAACUUCUGUAAGAAAAAUAGCCAAUCAUGGCAGGUUAUGAGCAGCGGUGGCCCAUCGGCUCGGCAUGGCGGAGCUGAGCUUCUGCCUCGUGAGCAGAAUUCAACCUCAGGGACUACGAACUUGGAGAGCCAUCCAUGGAGAGCUUCAAAAAUGGAACCGUGGGCGUGUUCACCUCCCUGCCGGUCAGUUCUGUCCAGAAAGACUUCCCAAUUCGAGUCACAAAUUGAGCUGUGAGAUUAAUAACAUCCAACUCUUCCCCUGUAAUCCCUUCUGGAAGACGAACAGCGCAUUGCUCAGUCUCUGGGGGGCUCAAGAACCUUGCGGAAUGGUUUAAACUGGGACGAGGGCUCAUGCUUCAUCAAUGUCUCACUAUUGUCGGCAGGUGGAGCAGAUGGGGUAGAUUCAGGAGCAAAAGAAUCUGCAAGUCGUGAAGGAAUCUGCUGUGCAGAGGACUGAUUCUGAGAGCGAAGUUCAAACAGGCGGUGUUGGAGGUAUGCACGGUAGGGAUCCGAACCAUUCAAGAAAUUGAACUUUACAUUGCCAGCAUGAGCAUCGGUAAAUGAAGUUCCAAUAGGGGUUUCUGCUCUCAGACCCAAUUCCUCAACAGAGUGACACUUGAAAUCAAUGUGAACCCACACACAGGGGAGGCACAUACGGGGAGUGCACAAAACAAGGAGGAAAUACAGAAAAAGAAAGAAAACAGGAAAAAAGGAAUGACAGUAAAAAUAGGCCAGACUCUGAUAGUCGUAGUGAACAAAGCUCCAAAUCAUGCAUUCUCAAUGAGCUUUAAGAGUAAAUGAAGAGACCAAAAGAGAAUUCGGAAAGAGAAUGAAACAUACUUCUGAAACAAAAGACACGAAAAAAGUCAAAGGUAAUGGUAGGAAUAAUCUCCAGAUUCAGCAAUCACCAUACAACUUUGGAUAUCCAUACAUAACCAACUAAUAACACCCACACAUAAGCAACAAAUAGAAUGCCAGAAACUCAAGAACAGAGUGAAGAUAGUGAUAUGCAUAAAUAAUCUGAGAGCUGGGAUAAUCAUACCUGAGAAAUCUCCCUUACACGCAAUGUUUUCUACACCUAUAAUUCACCCCGAAGCCCACGAUAAAUUCUCUCUUUUUCUGUGUAUCCCACUCUCCCCGUCAAACUGGAGAAUGCCCUCUGCUCCAAAGAAGGACACGUCUCUCUCCCGUCCCAUCUUGAAAAAAUCCCCUCUUUUUUCAUCCUCCAGAUCCCAAAACCUCACAUAUCCCAAAGAAAAGUAGAAAAGAAUAAUAAUAUCUUGAAAAACUCUCCUCCUUUUUUCAUCCUCCAGAUCCCAAAACCUCACCUGCUCCAAAGAAAAGUAGAAAAGAAUAAUAAUUGCUCCAAAGAAAAGUAGAAAAGAAUAAUAAUAUCUUGAAAAACUCUCCUCCUUUUUUCAUCCUCCAGAUCCCAAAACCUCACCUGCUCCAAAGAAAAGUAGAAAAGAUUUCAUCCUCCAGACCCCAAAACCUCACCUGCUCCAAAGAAAAGUAGAAAAGAUUUCAUCCUCCAGACCCCAAAACCUCACCUGCUCCAAAGAAAAGUAGAAAAGAAUAAUAAUUGCUCCAAAGAAAAGUAGAAAAGAAUAAUAAUAUCUUGACAAAAUCUUCUCCCUUUUUCAUCCUCCAGAUCCCAAAACCUCACAGAUCCAAAGAAAAGUAGAAAAGAAUGAUUAAUAUUUUCUCUAAUUUAAGACGAAUAUAAAAAUUUGAGAUAAUGAAAUUGCUAUUUCGUAUAGAUAAAAUUUAGUACCUUGAAAUUAAAAAUAAUAUAAAAAUAAAUAUACAUAUUAUUUAAAAUCUAUUUGCUUAUAAAUUUAAGUUGUUAAAUAAUACAUCUCAUCAUCCUCCAAAUGAAUAAAAUGUUACCUAGCAACUCCAAUUUGUAAAAAAAUAGAUUUUAAAACGUAAAUAAUUGAUUGAUGAUAUCUAAGAAAUUCAACGUUUGAUCUAAUAUGUGUAUAUAAAUUUGAGAUAACAAAAUUAUUGUUUCAUAUGUUUAAAAUACAGUAACUUAGUAAUUAAAAAUAAUGGAUACAUAUUCUUUAAAAUCUAUUUGUUUAUAAAUUUAAAUGGUUAGGUAAUGCAUCCGAUCUCACCCUCCAAAAGAAUAAGACUUUAUCGAACAACUCAUUUUAUUAAGUAAAUAGAUUUUAAAACACAAACAAUUGGCAAAUGAUAUUUAAGAAAUUCAAUAUUUUCGCUAACCUAAGAUGAAUUUAAAAAUUCAAGAUGAGGAAAUAGUUGUUUCAUAUAUUUAAGAUACAAUACCUCAAUUAUUAAAAAUAAUAUAAAAAUAAAUAUAGACAUUAUUUAAAAUCCAUUUUCUUAUAAGUUUAAGUUGUUAGAUAAUACAUCCCAUCUUAUCAUCUAAAUGAAUAAAAUGUUACUUAACAAUUCAAAUUUGUAAGUAAAUAGAUAUUAAAACAACAACGAUUGGUUAAUGAUGUAGUAUCCCACAUCACCUGAGGAGUGAAUGGCGAAGAGCCAUACACAAAGGACUUUCACAAUAUACUAUUAAGGCCUUUUAUUAAGGAUGUAGGUCUAAUAAAGAAAUAAAAUUGGGGCCGAUUGGUGGGAUCUGUGUACCACUAUAACCUUGAAUCAGACAAUAUUGGAUGAAGAGUGGGGUUAUGACAAUUGUAUUAAGGCCUAAUCUUCAACCGAAAGUAUGCUAGCGAAGACAUUGGGCCCCAAGGGGGUGGACUAUAAUGUUCCACGUCGCUCAAGGAGUGAAUGAUGAGAGCCAUAUAUGAAGGGCUUUCAUAAUAUACUAUCAAGACUUUUUUUUUAGGGCGUAGGCCCAAUAAAGAAGCAAAAUUAGGGCUGAUUGGUGGGACGUGUGUAUGCUACUGUAGCCUUAAAUUAGACAAUAUCGAGUGGAGAGUGGGGCCAUGACAGAUGAUAUCUAAUAAUUUGAAUGUUUUCUUGGACCUAAAAUGAAUAUAAAAAUUCAAGAUGAAGAUUGUUUGCUCAACUAUUGAUACUUAAAUGAGAAGAUAGGAAGACACAAAAUUCAUGGUGAUGCGUUUGCCAAUGGAGGAGGGGGAAAACAAGGAAUGGGCAACAUUUAGUACUUCAUUCAAAGAGUAGAAGUUAAACUGAAGCACCAACAGACAUGAUAGUGUGCAUUUUAAAAGCCAUAUGUAGAGAGAAGAGAAAAUUAGAACAAAUGAAGUUUAACUUUUUGGUAUUUCAGAUUGAGAGGGUGUUUAGUAAAAUAAUUUAAUAUUAUAAUUUAAAAUUAAAAAUGACUUAAUAUAUAAAAAGUUAAAAUAAUUUAUUUUUUCUACAGCACAAAUAUCCUUUAUUUUCAUAGAUUAUGUCUCUUUUUUCCAUCGUUUAUUUGUUACAACCUUUUUAUUCAAUAUCAAUUAGGAUAAAUAUAUCAAUUUAAUUGUUUGGAAAAUUUUUUAAAUUGGUUUAAAAAAAAUAACACUAGAAUAAUAAUUAAAUAUUGAAUUUUAUUCAAAUAAAUUAAUCUAAUUUUACUUAAAAUUGUUUUAAUUUAUUUAGCAUUAAGUACUUUAAUUCAUUAAGAAUUAAUGAUUAAGUUAUUGAAUACUUGCUAACUUUCAACCUAGCUAUUUCUCAUCUUUUCCAUACCAUUCUAAAAUAAUAUAUAAAUAAAAUUCAAAACAUUGAGAUUAAUGGAUAAAGCUGAAGUUCAAAUUGUGGAAAAGAUAGUGAAAAGAGGAGAUUUAUUGAUCGGGAAAUCAAUUUCACUCUAUUCCAAUUGUUAGAGAUGCAGUACUAGCCCCACAGAAAUAACUCAAGUAUACCAGCUCUAUAGCAACAACACAGGUGCACUACGUCUAAGUUCUGCUUUACACAGUAUGGUAUAAAAUUAAAAAUAAUUCUAAUGGUUCAAUCGAGCAGUAUAGAACUUGAUUAGUUGAUAAGGGGUUCUCUUAACAGUAUGGUAUGGAUUAUGAGGAGACUUUUGCCUUUAUUAUAAAGAUGACUACUAUUUGUACUCUUAUAGCAGUUUCUGCUUUUUGUUAGUGACAUAUAUCUCAUAUGGAUUUUAAAAAUACCUUCUUGAAUCAUGAUCUUUAAGAAGAAUUCUACAUGGUACCCUCUUUUUAUCUUUCUCCUAACCCUGAAGAAGUUUGCAAGCUCAAGAAAGCCUUAUAUCGUCUCAAAUAAGGACUUCAAGCUUGAUUUGCAAAGUUCUCUUAUGUGUUUACUUCUCUUGGUUUUUAUCCCAAUCAUCAUGAUCAUGUAUUCUUUAUAAAAUACACUACCAUUGGUUGUAUUCUACUUUCUUUAUAAAUCAUAUUUGGCUUUUAAUUUUGAAAUAAAGAAUUUAGGUUCUUUACGAUAGUUUUUAAGAAGUAACUUUUUCUCCAAAAGGUUAUCUUCUCUAGUAGUCUAAGUAUACAACCGAUAUUCUUGAUCGUGCUCACCUUAUUGAUACUAAAAGUACUGUUGAUACUCUCCUUCAAGUUAAUGUUCGGUAAUCUUGUUCUUAUGAUAACCCCUUAUCAGACCCUACAGUAUAUCAUACUAUUGUUAGCAGCUUAGUCUAUCUCACCAUUAUACGUACGAGCAUUACUUAUGUUGUUUAUAUUGUUAGUUAGUUUGUUACUUCUCCUACCACAUUUUAUUGGGUUGUUGUUCUUCCUAUUCUAUUGUAUAUUUGGGGCACUCUAUUUUAGAGUAUUUCCCUUCCAUCCACUUCCUUUUUGGAGCUGUAUGCACAUUUUAACACUGAUUGGGGCCAAUGAUCUCGAAGAUUGCAAGUCUACCAUUAGAUUUUGUAUGUUUUUUUUCUUUUUUAGAGAUUCUCUUAUUUCUUAGUAGAGCAAGAAAUAGACUAUCAUUUUUUGAUCUUCCACAAAAGUUGAAUAUUGUGUUCUGACAUCUGCCACUUGUGAGAUAGUUUGGUUAUGUCAGUUACUUACUGAUAUGAGUGUUUCUCUUCCUUGUCUCACUCCUAUUUACUGUGACAACAAGAGUAUUGUUCAGAUUGCACACAACUUUGUUUUUUAUAAAGGGACCAAACAUAUUGAGAUUGUUUGUCACCUUACUUGUCAUCUCCUUUAUCAUGACACUCUUACUUUGCUUUUUGUUCUGUCUUCCCUAUAGAUUACCAACUUGCUUACCAAGUUACACGCCACUUCCACAUUCUAAGUUUUGGUUGGCAAACUCUUGUUAUUUCUUGUAGUUGCAUCAUGAAUUUGUAAGAGGAUGUUAGAGUUAUUUAUUUGUUAAGAGUUAUUUAUUUUUUAUAUUAAAAUUAUUAUCUUUCUUUUUAGGAAUAAAGAUAAAUUAAUCAUUUCUUUUUAUUUCCUUUGAUUGUAAACUUGUUUAAACUCUAUUUGUAUUAUAUUUAUUUUUUAAGUAAUUAUAUAAAACACCUUAGAUUUUCUUUCUUCUCUUUGUUUGUGAUUCUUUUGAAGCUCAUAUUUGUGUAGAACUUGGAACAAUCCCUUAUGUUUUCUUGAAAGAAUAAAUCAUGGAGUCCAUGCGUUCUACCAUUUUGGAAACAUCUUAGUUUACCUACAUGCUGAUGCUAUAAAUUUUAAAAAAAAAAUUACUUGAAUUUGGAGCAUCUUUUAAUGUGAUUUAACAUUACCUAAUGAACCCAACAUUGGUUUUAUGCGGUGUUUGAAAAAUUAGCUAUCGACUAUGGCCAAAUCGGUCACCGAUAAUCGGUUGAGAGAAAAAUGGACAGAAAAUCUACAAUUUCGCCAAUAAAUCGGCGAAAUAUCGGAGAUAAGUCGGGACGUGUGGCAAUGCAUGCAUGGGCGAUGGGGCAGUGUCAAAAAAAUUGUCUAUAACUGGGAUUUUUUAAUUAUUCAUUUUUAAUUUAUCAUUUUAUUUUAUAUUAUCCUUUUAUUUUUAACUACUUUCCAUAUUUAUCUCAUUAAUUCUAUUUAAAAAAAUUACUAUCACUUCAACCUUAAUACAUAUAUAUUAUGUUUAUCCUUUUAAUUUUAAAUGUUUUGUUUUAAAAAAUUAAAAAUAUAAUUUUACUCAAAAAUUGCACAAUAUAAAAAAAAUUAAUGAAGUUCUAAUAUUUUAUAAAUUAAAAUUAAUUUGAUAAGAUAAAUUAUUAAUAAUUUUAAUUAUAUAAAUAAAUUAAUGUUAAUAGAAAAAGUUAUCACCACAAGAUUUGUAAUAAAAUUUUAGAAAUUAAAUCUCAAAUAAAAUAUGUUAUAUAAAUCAAUUUAAUUUUUUAUUUAAAUGUAAUAAAACAUGGUUUAAUAAAAAUAUUUUUAAAAUUUUAAAAUAAAUGAAUAUAAAUAUAUUAAAGGAAUUUAAGCUAUUUUUUUAUAUAAAAAUUUGAUAAAUAUUAUUUUUAAUCAUAGUUAUCAAUUAUACUUAUAAAAUAACUUUAAAAUGUGUAUUCUUUAUUUUAUUAUUAUUAUUUUUAAGUUUUUAAGCAUUUUAUUGAAUUUUGAACUAUUUCUGUUCAAUCGAUAUUUUUGUCAAAAUAUUUAUUAUAUUUUCCAUUUAUCCGUAAAAUCUAAUUACCAAUAUAUCUGUAUUUACUAAUAUUUUAAAUCUUAGGUUGGUGAUGUUGCCGGACUAGUGUUAGUCCAUGCUUUGACCCAUUCAGCUUUAAUGAGUAAUAAUAAUCUUUUCAUCACAAUUUUCUAUGGACCCCGUAUUUCGGCUCAUGCGUUUUUCACAGGAUGGUGAGCUCGAUUUUUAUUUAAAAAUGAUUUUUAUUUAUUAAAAAAAUGACUUGGAAUUGCCACUUAUUUUUGUUUUAUUAUUUUUUUUAAAAGGGUAAAUAAAAUAAGAAAGAAAACCCUAAGUGUGACUCCUCAUUUUGGAAAAGGUGAUCUACGAAAAACCGGAUCGGGCUCAGGGGUCAGGGUACUUAUUAGGAAGGUACGGUAAAUACCGUAGCACCCCUCUAAGUCCCUAAAGUCGGGUCUCUACUAAUGAGAUGAAGCAAUCAUGACAAUGGAUGAAUGAAUCAAUAAAUAUUCAGAGUAGUUAUGCACAUAUGAGAGUCAAAAAAACGCAUAUAGGCUAACUAGAGUGAGAAUGAGUGCGUACCUGAGCAACGAACCAUCAUGUGCUAUCAAGAGAGAGGGUUAGUGCACAAUAACAAUCACGAGAUAUGUCACAGUGCAUAAUAAAAUCAAUCAUUCAUGACAAUUAAAUCAAUCAAUCAAUCAAUCAAUUAUAACUUCAUGUAUGUGGUGGGGCCCCCACCAAAGCCCGAUCUAUUUUUGCAUGAAUUAAUUUCAUAAAUUCCAUUAAUUGGAAUUACAAAAUUAAAGUCUUGCUUAUUUUAAAACGUUUUAAAACAAAAGAGAUGUGGAAAUUGUUUGCCAGAAGGAAAGAUGACAACAAAAAUUUAUUGGAAAUGAGAUUUGUGAAUGAUUCUAAAAAAAACCUAAAGAUGAAAAUUAAAAAUAAAUAAAUAAAUAAAUUGAUAAAAGUGGAGUUUGGAAAAAUAAAAAGAAAACUAGAAUCCGGGGAAUUAUAUGGAAAAUGGGAGUGUAGGGAAUUAUUUAUGAAGACAGAAUAAGGGUGAAAAAGUGGGAAUGUGUCACGUGGCCAUAAGGUGGCCAUGCUAAAGGUGCCUAAACAAAAAAAGGAGAGGCGGCCAAGCAUGGCCCAGUAGGAAUGGGCCCAGGGAUGUGUCUAAUGCUGCACUCUCACUUGUUUCCGUUCAAUCUUCUGUACAUAUCACAGUUUCCUUUGGCAUAUGGGCCAUUGAUCACCUUGCUUGCAAAGAUAGCUCUAUCGGGUAUUUCAAAUUUCACCCCAGCCUUAGCUUCAAUAGUUACCUUCCCUUGAGAGUGAUACCAGGCCUAAACCAUACAUCACCAGCUACCUUGAGUCAAUCCAGCUUAAUAAUACUAGGGGUUGACUUGAAUUCAUUGGCAUGUUCAUCUGGGACCUGCUUGGGCUUCGAUCUGACCCCAUGACAUUGACCAGCAGAAGGUAUUAGAGAUCCUGAAGCCACAGCUGCAUGAAACUGUUUCUGCAAACUUGUUUUGCAUUCCCGAGUCAAGACUCUACAUGGAUCAAAUGUCAACUGCAAAAGGGCAUCUGGAGAUAUAUGCUUUGAAUUCCUCAAUGUUGUGGAGUUUGCUGCAAGGUGUAAAGGAGUUCCAGCAUGACAUCUAGGACGGUAAGCGUUCACAUUGGCACCCAAUUCAAUCGAAGUUUUUGCAACAUUGGAAAAUUCAGAAAACAGGCACGCCACAAUCAAUGGAGUCUUUCCUUCUUGCUUCCCGUUUGACCAUAGGUGAAUAUACAGGCUUCCUAUCCAUUUAACACCGAAAUCACCAUCAAUAAAGCGUCUGCAAUCACAUCAACCUGAUCAUCUCUCGGCUCAUAAACACAGUCAAACUUGAAAUUCUUUCUGAUAGAUCCGACAGGCAGAAUGAAGUGCUGCAGGGUGGCUUCCGUGGCUCGGUCGAAAGCCGUAGCGAAACUGUUCUCGGGGAGCCCCGGAGCCAGCGUCUGCGGGUCCUUCCCAAUGGCGCGGGUGACCCUACGAGCCAUGGCUUGGCGCAGAGUCCGGGUGGUGAAUUCCAGUGCGGCGGUCUUACGCUGGAACCGCCACGUUUCGCCAUCAGAAUUGAAGAUCCCCUCACCGACAGCUUUUAGCACAUUAACUGGAUCUUUUUCCUCCUCAUUCUCUUCACUUCGUCCCUGUUCAUGGACUUGAAAAGCUGGAACCUCAGAUUCUUCAUCUGGCAAUGACUUAACACUCUCAUAUAUCUGCUUCAGCCUGUGCUCUAAUCCUUCCCAGUCGUUCAUUAUCAGCGGGAUCAGAAUUAUUAAUGCCAUUAACUCAAACCUCAGUAGAAUCAUGAGUGUCAAUUGUCACGAAACCAAAAAUCUGUUCCUUUAACAGCUGGCAUGUCACGAAACAAAAAUGGAACCACCGAGAUUAAGAAUGAGCUUACGUGCGGGCUGCAUGGGUAUGAAAGAGAAUGGGAAAAGAGUACAAGUGGAGGAAGUGGUGAGGGAAAAUGGUGUAGUGGGGGAGCGAGUGGGCAGGAGGGGUAGAAAGAUUGGUGGAAUAUAUAGGUAUGGAAGUGGGAGUAUUCAUGCAUGGAAAAUGGAAAGGUGAUGAGAUGGGUGAGCAUGAAGGUUAGAAAAGAUGGGUAUGGGGGGGCAUGAAAGGAUAAUCUUGCAGGGACCGAGGGAGUUCAAGACCCAUCCGCGCAGACCUGGUUAUGGAAGAUAUGAUGGGCAUAGGAUGAAUUGAUGGUAUGUAUGGGUAUGAAGUAACGAAGGUAGGAUGGUGAGGAAUAGAAAUGGCCAUGCAUAGGGUUCGGUGAGUAACCAUGCAUGCAUGGUUCAGGCACGUGACAUAGGGAAAGUGAUAAGAGAGAGUGGACUUGAUGAGUGAGAGUGCAAAAUGGGUAUGAAAAAUGGAUGGUGAUGUUAGCUACUGUAAGUGGGUGUAAUGAACGGAUGAGGAAAAGUAAUGAGGAGUGGGCUUAGUGAGCUCGGAAUUGGAGGAUUGGUAGUGGGAGUUAGUGAGGGAUGGGUUAAUGAAGGGGGUGAGUGGCAGCCAAGAGGGUAGUGUAUGUUACCAAGGAUGGUUUGCAGAUUUCUUGGGUUUUAGAGAUUGAUGACGGAAUUGGGCUUGCGUUGGAACAAAGGCAUGGAUGUUUAGAGAGAGAAAUGGGUAGAUGAAUGUGAAGGCUGCGCGGUACAGGAGAUAGGAAUGGGUUUUGUGAGGGCCAUGUAUAGCAAAGAUGAUAAGUGCGUCAUCCACUUCAUGGUUGUAACAAUCUCUCAAAUUCAUCAGGUACAUCAUGCAAGACCCGAAUAGAGCCAAAAACAACAUCAAAUGGUGACAGCUCUUAUGUUUUUCAAUGGCUCUUCUAGCUCUUGAUUCCACUAGGCUCAGAUUCCUCAUACAAAAAGGGAGUUCCGGUCACUUGUUUCUUUUUCUCGUAUUAGAGAAUUAACAUAUAGUUCCUUCUCCAACCGGUGUUGUAUAGAUGCUUCCCAUUAAUGGGUUCAAACACUAAAUUUCUCUCACUGAUUCACCUUGCAAUGACUCAUACCUCUCACUUAGCACUUGCCAUUCAAGGUGAUCUUUAACCUUUGAUUACUCGUCAAAAGCUCGCAAGAGAUAACUAAUGGAUGUCUCCUUGGAAUCCAAAAGCUUACCAAGUGUUGGUUAUUCUAGAAAAUCCUACCUUCAAACCACCUCCCAAAAGCUCACAAGAGAUAAACUAGUGCAUCUCCAUGGACGGAGAUCACUUGCCUUAUCAAGUGUUGGCCCAAGUGAUUUAAAGACGUUUUAAGUUAACUAAAAAAAUAAAAACCAUUAACGGGUCACAUUUUCUCUUCAUUAAAAACUAAAACAACAAAACUUCCAAUUUUUCAUUUGGAAACUUACCCGGCUUUCUUCACUCCAAGAGAUGAAGAGCCUAGCCUCUCAUCCUCUAAGGAAAAAUCCUCAGAGUUUGAUUGGCUAGAAAGAAAAAUAACGAGAAAACAAAAAAUAUAUAUAUGAAAAGCAGAGCAAGUGCUCUAUAAAAUAUAUUCCUUAUUAUUACAAAAGGUUGUCGUCCUUUUCUUUUUUCUCUGGGAACAGGCUCCCGAGAUCUAUAUUUAUAUGAAAAUAACAAUAAUAAUAAUUAUCUGGUUAUUCCCCUUUUUCCUAACUUAAUAGCUAAGGAAUCCUAUAAUUGGUGGCUUACAAGGAGAGUUUGGAGAUUUAGACAACAAAAAUCUGAAGAAAAAUAUCUCAAAGUGUCGGUCGCAAAUAUCGGGAAGCACUAAGGACCAUUUCGCAGGUGAAAACGAGGUCUGCGAGAUUUCGCAGACGCACAAAAAGGGCUACGAAAUCACUUCGCAGCAAAAGGCUGAUUUCGCAGUGCUGCGAAGUUGGCUUCCAGCUUGCGGUGUUCGGCUUCCAAUGACUGUAACUCCUUCAUUUCAGCUCCGAAUUGCGUAUCGUUUGAAGCAUUGGAUUGCUGACUUCCUAAGCUUUGAAACGAAAUAUAGCAUGCAUAAAUUGGACUCCAGGAAGUGCUUCAAAAGUGGCUGACAUGACUGUCAUCAAGAAUGCUUCAUGGCAGAUUUCUCUUUGCUUCCCUUCCUUGUAUUCUGGAUUUGCUUAUGGCAAAGGACUUCAAAGCUUCGGUUCUUCAUGUUUCUGAGCUUUCCAUUGCUUUGCCAUGGAUUCCAAAUAACUCUCCUCAAUCUCAGAUUGCUUUGGUGAUCAAAAAGUUAUCAAAACACCAAAACUUAACACAAUUUGAUUAGAAUUGAUUGCAAGGGUCCUUAACAUGUUAAUUGGGUUAAAAGACAAUAACUACUACUCAAAAAUGUUUAAAAGAGUUAAUUACAAGCUAUCAAAUAACACUUUUUGAGUAGUAAUCAAUUCUACUUUGGUCUUAGAAGGAAGUGCACUUAUGCUUUUCAUAAUUUCAUUAGCACUUCUAUCAUUUGGAUGCAGACCCACUUUGGCAUGCUGGCAAAGCAAUGAGUAUAAGUCAAAACGACCACCCUCUCCACUGUCAUCAACUCUCAACACCAUGAAGGCAUACUUCAGCAGAGAAAUGGUGGUUAUGAUCCAGAACAUAAGAGAGAGGAGCUCAUAUAUCCUCUGUUCUGAUAUCAUAUCCUCUUUUGGAACUGACAUGAAUACCUUCAGUGGAGCAGUCCUCAAGCGGCCAUAAACUAUCACGAGGCUUUGAAAUGCCAAAAGGAAUGUAUGUCUCCAUGUCUCUUUCUGUAGCCAUUCUUUUUCUUUGUUGCCUACUUCACAAAGCUUCCAUUCGCAAUUACCGAACGACCAUCCUAGUGGUUGACUGAACCUAGAAUCUCCCGCUGAAAGUUUUCAUGCUAUUUCCAGAACUCGAUCCAGAUUUCCUCGUUCAUGUGUUCAGCAGAUAUAGGCAUAAAAUCAUCUAGCCAUGAUAAGCAUGUCGUGGCCCUUCAUGCCCAUAGUCUGAAAGCAUAUUCCUGUGUCGCCUUCUUCCAGCAGAGAUGGAGAGUCUGAUGCAUAUAGCCAAGCACAGGAACAGAAGAAACGGCUGACAGAACACGGAAUGAUAGAUACCAAAUGAAACCGUACGAUACUUCAUUUCAUGUAAUAGUCCAUGAGCUCGCAUGUAAGAGGUAGGCAAAAAUGAAUUUCAAGAAGGUUCGCAAAGAGCAAUCAAAUCAUGAUGGCAAACAACUCAUGAAGGAAAAAAAGAAAACUCGCAAAAAAUAAUCCCAUAAGAAUAGGUUAGUAGUCAAGCACAACAAGAGCGUGAGCGUACUUCAACCUCAAAACAGAGUAUCUGGACAAAAUGGCAUUGAGACGAAAAGAGUUAAUAGUUUAUAGGAAUAAUACCUGAGACUCCUUCUUUCACAAUGAUUCCUCCGCGUAUUCCUUCUUCUCACUGGUCCUUUAGAAUAUUAAGCUCCCCUAUGACAAAACCUCCAACAGUCACAACGCCCCUCACUAUCAUUCAGCUUGCUCCCCCGAGCCAAAAGAACACACUCCUCCUCUUCCUCUGCCCAAAAAAAAGCUCCUUUCCCCCCACUGAUCUGGAUGUCCCGCUUGAAGAAAAGCCCUCCCCGCCACCUAUACCUUUUUUUCCUUCCUUUUAUUUCCUAUCUCCCCUGUUUUUGUCUUCCUCAGCAAGCCAUCACCAACCCUACUGUUCCUCCAUCAGCCAGCAUGGCUUCUCAACCACCUUCAUGGCCGACCAUCACGCCCCUUGCCGUGUGCAUGGGAUCCAUGCAUGGAGAGGGGUCUCCCCACACAUCUCGGGUGCUGCCAGCUCCUCCAGGUGGUGAAAUAGCAUUCUCCCCAUGCUAUAAAAAUCUCUAAAAAAACUAGUAGUCUUUGAUUUUCUGAAAGGGGGUCUACAUUUUCCAAUUCAUAAGGUUAUAAUUGGUUAUUAAAAAGAAGAAAAAUUUGGUAACCUAAUUGCUCGAGUCCGAUUUGUUAAUAUUUCUGAAUAUAUAUUCAAGAUACAAAAUAAAAUAAUAAUAAUAAUUAUUAUUAUUAUUAUUAUGGGAUAUAUUUAAUCCAAACCACUUAAAAUCUUAAUCGUUAAAUAAAUUAAUAAAUAAAGAAACCUAAGUAUAAAAGAAUAGAAAUGGGUACAAACAAUGAAAUUGAAGUACUAAAGGAUGAAACAAAUGUAUAAACCAAUAAGAUGUUCAAAAUAAUGGGAUCUAUGCACAUGUGGUGCAAUUUGAUUAAUUGCAAUUUUGAUAUGUUGCACAAUUCAGUAGUGUAGUGAGAACCAAGAGUAUACAACAUGAAUGUUAAUAUUUUAAUAAAAAUAUAAAUUAUAUUUUUUGUUAAAAUAAAUAAUAAUUUUUCUAAAAAAAUACAUAUCAGUAAUAUUUUAUUUAAAUGAAUUCUAAAAGACAUACAUAACUUUUUUUAAAUAUAUAAAUAAAUUUUUUUUCAUUUAUUUAUUUUUUAACUUAGGAACAUGUUUACUAUCUAAUUAUUUUGAGCAUUUUAUACCAAAUUUAGUGUUGAAAUUUUUUCUAUUAAAUGAGUUGCAAAUACAAAUUCUCUAUUCAAGAAGUUUAGGCACGGUGGGUUACAUUUUUGUACUCCUUGUCCAUUAAUGCAUUUAUGAAAUGAUACGCUAAUGUUUUGAAGCAAAAUAAAUGUUUAUGGUCUAUUGACAAGAAUUAAAGAACUUCUUGUCUAUGAUUCUCUUGUCUAUCCAUACAAGACUUGAAGGCAACGAUGAAAUUAUAGGCUUCUCAAAUCAGCAUGCAUAUGAUUGGAGAUGGUGUAUGAAAAAUAAGGUCAUGAAACUUAUAACAAUAAGAUGAUUAGCUGUUUUGUAGCUUAAAUAAAACCUUUUUUCUAUUAUAAAAACUGAAAAAUAAAAUGUAGAAAUUUGAUAAUUGAAUUACAUUUAAGAAACCUUAAAAAUUGUUUCAUAAAUUUAAAAUAUAAUACCUUAAUAAUUAAAAAUGAAUAUACACAUUGUUUAAAAUCUAUUUGCUUAUUAUAUAAGUUUAAGUUGUUAGAUGAUACAUCCCAUCUUAUCCUCCAAAUGGAUAAGAAUCAACCUAUUUCCUAACAAUUCAAAAUUUUAAGCAAAUAGAUUCAAUGUUUUUCUAUAGCUUAAUAUGAAUAUAAAAAUUUGAGAUAAUGAAACUAUUGUUAUAUAAUACAUCCCAUCUUAUCCUCCAAAAGAAUAAGAGAUUACCUAACAAUUCAAAUUUGUAAUUAAGCAAAUAGACUUUAAUAUGAAUAUAACAAAUAUUUAAAAACUAUUGUGAACAACUGGUUGAUGAUAUUUAAGAAAUUCAAUGUUUUUUCUAACUUAAUAUGAAUAUAAAAAAUAUUCUAGAUAACGAAAUCGUUGUUUCAUAUGUUUAAAAUAUAGUACCUUAACAAUUCAAUAUAUAUAUAAAGAUGAAUAUACAUAGUAUUUAAAAUCUAUUUGCCUAUGAAUUUGAGUUGUUUAGUAAUACAUCCCAUCUUAUCCUCCAAAUGAAUAAGGCGUUACCUAACAACUCAAUUUUGUAAACAAAUGGAUUUUAAAAUGCAAAUAAUUAAUUAAUGAUUUGAAAAAAAAUUCAAUGUUUGACCUAAUAUGAAUAAGCAAAUUUGAGAUAGUGAAAUUGCGCAUUGUUUUAUAUGUUUAAAAUACAAUACCAUAAAAAUUAAAAAUAAUAUAUUUAAAGAUGAAUAUACACACCAUUUAAAAUCUAUUCGCUUAUAAAUUUAAGCUGUUAAGUAAUACCUCCUAUUUUAUCCUCCAAAUGAAUAAGAUGUUGCCUAACAACUCAAAUUUAUAAGAAAAUGGAUUUUAAAAUGCAAAUAAUUGAUUGGUAAUAUCUAAGAACUUCAAUGUUUGACCUAAUAUGAGUAUAAAAAUUCGAGAUAACCAAACUGUUGUUUCAUAUGUUUAAAAUAUAGUAUCUUAAUAAUUAAAAUAAUAUAAAGAUGAAUAUAAAUAUUAUUAAAAAACUACUUGUUUAUAAAUUUAAGUUAUUAGGUAAGACAUCCCAUCUCAUCCACCAAAUGAAUAGGCCAUUGCCUAACAACUUAAAUUUGUAAGAAAAUAGAUUAAAAAGUACAAACAAUUGGUUAAUGAUAUUUAAGAAAGUUGUUGUUUCAUAUUUAAAAUACAAUCUUAACAAUUAAAAAUAAUAUAAAAAUAAAUACAGACAUUAUUUAAAAUCCAUUUCCUUAUAAAUUUAAGUUGUUAGAAAAUACAUCUUAUUUUAUCCUCCAAAUAAAUAAGAUCUUACCUAACAACUCAAAUUUGUAAGUAAUUAGAUUUUAGAAUGUGAACAGUUGGUUGAUGAUAUCAAAGAAAUUCAAUACCUAACAACUCAAAUCUGUAAGUAAUUAGAUUUUACAAUAUGAACAUUUGAUUGAUGAUAUAUAUAAGAAAUUCAAUUUUUUCUUUUACCUAAAAUGAAUAUAAAAUUUUGUUAUGAGGAUUGUUUGCUCAACUAUUGAAACUUAAUAAGAAGAUAGGAAGCGACAAAGCUUAUGGGGAUAUGUUUGCCACAAUAGAGUGAGGAAAAUAAGGAUUGGGUAGCAUUCAGUAUGAUAGCGCACUUUUUAAAAGUCACAUAUAGGUAGAAUGAAGAGAAAAUUAGAACAAAUGAACUUUAAUUUUUUGGUAUUUUUGAAACUAAAAGUGUUUAGUAAAAUAAUUUAAUAUUACAAAACUUACAGUUAAAAAUGACUUAAAUACGUAAAAAGUUAAAAUAAUUUAUUUUUUGUAUAUCACAAAUAUCCUUUCAUUGGUUGUCUCUUUCUUCCAUUGUUUAUUUUUUUACAGUAAAAUAAUUAUUUUUUCAAAUAAUUAUAAUAAAAGUACAAACAAUUAAAUAUAUCAAUUUAAUUGUUUAGAAAAAAAUUUAAAUUGGUUUUUAAAAAAACUUAAACACUAGAAACAAUAAUUAUAUACUGAAUUUUAUAUAAAUAAAUUAUUCAUAAUUUAACUUGAAAUUAUUUUAAUUUGUUAAGCAUUAAGUACUUUAAUUCAUUAUGCACUAACUAUUAAGCUUUACUGAAAGCUAGAUAUAAAUAAAGAGAGAGGACAAGGACGAAUAUUCCAACCCCAGUGGCAACGCCUUUAAGGAAUUUUGCAACAAAAUUUUUGGAAGAUUCUGUGCAACGUCCCAGGAUUGCUGAACGUAGAGGUGAAUAUGAGAGAAAAAAAUGGGGACAGAAGAAAUCCAACCACACCCCAAACAGCAUUUUUCCAAUUAUGUGUCAU
RNAcentral lists this long non-coding RNA (38338 nucleotides) under Vitis vinifera (wine grape). RNAcentral describes it as "long non-coding RNA (VVIN_LNC000811)". The record is from RNAcentral. Lineage: Eukaryota; Viridiplantae; Streptophyta; Magnoliopsida; Vitales; Vitaceae.